This 253-nucleotide ribosomal RNA is filed under the name uncultured bacterium. RNAcentral's name for it is "partial 16S ribosomal RNA". It matches the Rfam family "Bacterial small subunit ribosomal RNA", at positions 524 to 776 of the family's 1533-position model. The record is from RNAcentral.
UACGGAGGAUCCGAGCGUUAUCCGGAUUUAUUGGGUUUAAAGGGUGCGCAGGCGGAUAAAUAAGUCAGUGGUGAAAUCCUACGGCUCAACUGUAGAACUGCCAUUGAUACUGUUUAUCUUGAGUACAGUUGGAGUGGGCGGAAUGUGUCAUGUAGCGGUGAAAUGCUUAGAUAUGACACAGAACACCGAUCGCGAAGGCAGCUCACUAAGCUGUAACUGACGCUCAGGCACGAAAGCGUGGGGAUCAAACAGG